RNAcentral lists this ribosomal RNA (491 nucleotides) under uncultured bacterium. RNAcentral describes it as "partial 16S ribosomal RNA". It matches the Rfam family "Bacterial small subunit ribosomal RNA", at positions 28 to 507 of the family's 1533-position model. The record is from RNAcentral.
GAUGAACGCUAGCUACAGGCUUAACACAUGCAAGUCGCGGGGCAGCAUGGGGGUUGCUUGCAACCCCUGAUGGCGACCGGCGCACGGGUGAGUAACGCGUAUCCAACCUGCCCUUCACCACGGGAUAACCCGGCGAAAGUCGGACUAAUACCGUAUGUUGUCCAUUGACGGCAUCCGAUUUGGACGAAGGGCUUGGCGGUGAAAGGAUGGGGAUGCGUCCGAUUAGCUUGACGGCGGGGUACCGGCCCACCGUGGCUACGAUCGGUAGGGGGUCUGAGAGGAAGGUCCCCCACACUGGAACUGAGACACGGUCCAGACUCCUACGGGAGGCAGCAGUGAGGAAUAUUGGUCAAUGGGCGUAAGCCUGAACCAGCCAAGUAGCGUGCAGGAUGACGGCCCUAUGGGUUGUAAACUGCUUUUAUGCGGGGAUAAAGUGGCCCACGUGUGGGCUUUUGCAGGUACCGCAUGAAUAAGGACCGGCUAAUUCCGUG